UUGUAACCCAAGCGGGUACAUUAUUAAGAUGGAUGGUUGGACACCGAGUUUGUUUCACCGGGUAGGUUCGUUCUUGCGCGCACAAUUAUCUCGACACGAUCCUGGCGUAAGCUGGGGUCGUGCAGCCACUAAAGCGACGGGCACCGCGUCAGGCUGGCUUCACAGAGCAGCGAACACCUCCUGAUCUUGACAGUGGAAGCCUGGUGAGCUGCCUAAAUUGCGUCUCAAGGCCAUGUAAAUCUCGGUUCUGGGUCGACAUCUAUAUUUGUGUAUGCAGUAUUUGGGUUGUCUAGGCAAAUAACAACUGGUCCGGUUCCGAUCACAUUGGUUUAUCAGUUGGUGUCUAAUGUAGUGGGGAAAAUUGCUGAUCCAACGGAUGAUUGUAUGAGGAACUUGCGAAGUUGUUGGUACUUAUGGUUGGAAUCUCUGGAAUAUGUAAUGGCCAAUGGGAAUCUUAAGGGCUUGGAUAGGUUGUAGGCUUCAUUAAUCACUUUGUAGUUCCAUGAAUGGCAAGCAGGAAUCUGCCUUACUCUUCUUGGGCAUGCCACCAAGGUUUUCUUUAUAUUAAGAGAAAUAUGUUGGCAAGCUUUACUCACGUUGUUGUGGAAGAUGCAGAAUGGGGAUGAUAAAUGGUCAAAGUUCCUUCAAGCCAAAAUUAAAAAUAAGAAGGGGGAGUGGAUCAACUAUUUUGGGUCGGUUUGAACUUUGAAAUGGAGUGUAUAUUUGAGUUCUUAUAUUUUGCAGCAUAAAUAUCUGAGAGUGGCUGAUUUGCUGCAUAAUGGUGAGUGGUGUACCCCUGUUGAGUGUCUUAAUGUCGUUUGAUGUGAAUGAGCUUUCCUAUAGUGGAUUGUGGUGUGGAUAGGAGAAUUUGGUGUGGUUGUAUCACUGGUAACUCUCAGUGGCUUCUGCUGUUAACUGCAUCGGACAAAAACUUCUCAGUGGGCUUUGUUGAUUAACUUUAGUCAGGUUUGUUUUCGGACCGACUCUAGAGCUGUCAUUACUGCUUUUGCUUCUGGCAAGAUCCCUUGGUUUGCUGUAACCAGGUGGAAUAAAAUUUGUAGGUUUUUUAAUGAUGGUUGAUGUGUUGUAGAAAGUGGUGGUAAAAAGAAGUUCGUUUCUCAGACUUGUAGAGAUUUGAUUUUAGAAUUAUAUUUUAAAAUAGAAAACUCA
Long non-coding RNA from Papaver somniferum (opium poppy), 1170 nucleotides. RefSeq lists it as uncharacterized. NCBI's taxonomy places the organism in Eukaryota, Viridiplantae, Streptophyta, Magnoliopsida, Ranunculales, Papaveraceae. The record is from RefSeq and is a predicted model, not a curated record. The transcript is spliced from 3 exons.